Molecule: long non-coding RNA, 866 nt
Filed under: Olea europaea (common olive)
Lineage: Eukaryota; Viridiplantae; Streptophyta; Magnoliopsida; Lamiales; Oleaceae
Description: long non-coding RNA (OEUR_LNC001107)
Source: RNAcentral
GUGUGUUAUGAACCAGACGAUAAGCAGCUCCUCCCAAUGUAGGACCAGAUAUUGCCCCGGAUACUUGUGGCCUGUGAAACAGAAGCAAUCAAAGAAGUGCUAUAAUUCCAUUCUAGUGUAAUAAAUGACCCACCGUUUUCAAGCAAGGUAACAAUUUACUAUUUACUAGUUCCAGAGCUUAGUGUAAACCAACAAUGACCACAGAAUUCCCAAUCUGCUGUAAGCUGAAUAUCAAAUUCUGGAAUUGGUAGGUCAACAAUUUAAGAUAUUAAAAUUUUUAAUAUUCCCAAAGGACUGUGCAGGAGAGACGUUUGACACUAUCUGUGUAAAUUCUAUUACCUUUCUAUGCCUAGCAUACGCCUGCCACCAUUGUCUUCAUGCCAUAGUAUAGGGAAUGGUUUUAUGUCAGUAGGUCUCACAACCUGCAGGUAAAAUAUAAGGGACGACAUGAGAGUAAAGCUAAAGAAACUUUUAUCACUAGUGGAGGAAGAAUAUCGUAUUGGGAGCUCUAAAAAUAAGCCUGCCACCAUUAUCUACAAGAUUAUCUUUAGUCAAGGAAGAAUAUCUUAUUGGGGGCUCUAAAAACUUAUUUUAUUUGCUUGCAAAGUGGUCCAACUUACAAAUUCAGGUAUGACCAUCCUAAGAGCAUAUUAUGAUUGCUAGCUUAAAAGGGCCUAACAAUAUAUUCUCUUGCAUCUUCCACAAAAAACAUGUUGCUAACAAUUAGAGUAGCUAAAAAUUUGCAUACCUUUUCAGGUAGGACUGCACCUUUAGGAGGUUCCGGGAUGUGUGCAUGUGGAACUGGAUAAAGAUAAGUAAUGUUUCUGCAAAAGAAUUGUACAACAUCUUGAGGAAUUCAACGAUUA